Molecule: ribosomal RNA, 497 nt
Filed under: uncultured bacterium
Lineage: Bacteria
Description: partial 16S ribosomal RNA
Rfam family: Bacterial small subunit ribosomal RNA
Source: RNAcentral
GAUGAACGCUGGCGGCGUGCCUAAUACAUGCCAGUCGAGCGAACGGACGAGAAGCUUGCUUCUCUGAUGUUAGCGGCGGACGGGUGAGUAACACGUGGAUAACCUACCUAUAAGACUGGGAUAACUUCGGGAAACCGGAGCUAAUACCGGAUAAUAUUUUGAACCGCAUGGUUCAAAAGUGAAACACGGUCUUGCUGUCACUUAUAGAUGGAUCCGCGCUGCAUUAGCUAGUUGGUAAGGUAACGGCUUACCAAGGCAACGAUGCAUAUCCGACCUGAGAGGGUGAUCGGCCACACUGGAACUGAGACACGGUCCAGACUCCUACGGGAGGCAGCAGUAGGGAAUCUUCCGCAAUGGGCGAAAGCCUGACGGAGCAACGCCGCGUGAGUGAUGAAGGUCUUCGGAUCGUAAAACUCUGUUAUUAGGGAAGAACAUAUGUGUAAGUAACUGUGCACAUCUUGACGGUACCUAAUCAGAAAGCCACGGCUAACUACGUG